RNAcentral lists this ribosomal RNA (392 nucleotides) under uncultured bacterium. RNAcentral describes it as "partial 16S ribosomal RNA". It matches the Rfam family "Bacterial small subunit ribosomal RNA", at positions 523 to 918 of the family's 1533-position model. The record is from RNAcentral.
AUACGGAGGAUCCGAGCGUUAUCCGGAUUUAUUGGGUUUAAAGGGUGCGCAGGCGGCCAUUUAAGUCAGCGGUUAAAUCGUGGGGCUCAACCCCAUCCUGCCGUUGAUACUGGGUGGCUUGAUUGCGGUCGAGGUUGGCGGAAUUCGUUGUGGAGCGGGGAAAUGCAUAGAUAUGACGAAGAACACCGAUUGCGUAGGCAGCUGACCAGACCGCAAAUGACGCUCAUGCACGAAAGUGCGGGGAUCGAACAGGAUUAGAUACCCUGGUAGUCCGCACAGUAAACGAUGAAUACUUGUUUUCGGCGAUAUAAUGUCGGAGGCAAAGCGAAAGCGAUAAGUAUUCCACCUGGGGAGUACGCCGGCAACGGUGAAACUCAAAUGAAUUGACGGGG